This 75-nucleotide transfer RNA is filed under the name Marmota monax (woodchuck). RNAcentral's name for it is "tRNA.Ala". The record is from RNAcentral. Lineage: Eukaryota; Metazoa; Chordata; Mammalia; Rodentia; Sciuridae.
GGGGUUGUGGCUCGGUGGUAGAGCAAUCACCUAGCAUGUGUGAGGUCCUGGGUUCGAUCAAUCCUCAGCACCACA